Molecule: ribosomal RNA, 49 nt
Filed under: Amanita pantherina
Lineage: Eukaryota; Fungi; Basidiomycota; Agaricomycetes; Agaricales; Amanitaceae
Description: partial 28S ribosomal RNA
Source: RNAcentral
CUUGACCUCAAAUCAGGUAGGACUACCCGCUGAACUUAAGCAUAUCAAU